Small nuclear RNA from Heterocephalus glaber (naked mole-rat), 211 nucleotides. Its record names the gene U4. It matches the Rfam family "U4 spliceosomal RNA". From Rfam's summary of the family: U4 small nuclear RNA (U4 snRNA) is a component of the major U2-dependent spliceosome. The structure of U4 snRNA from yeast and human has been reported. NCBI's taxonomy places the organism in Eukaryota, Metazoa, Chordata, Mammalia, Rodentia, Bathyergidae. The record is from Ensembl.
GGCUUUGCACAGUGGCAGUAUCAUAGCCAAUGAAGUUUAUCCAAGGCACGAUUAUUGCUAAUUGAAAAGUGAAUUAGAGGGGGGAAAAAAAGUGAAUUAGAGGGGCUGGGGAUUUAGCUCAGCAACACAGCACCUGCCUGGCAAGCUUGAGGUCCUGAAUUCGAUCCCUGGUACCAAAAAAAAAGUGAAUUAGAGGAUAUUUGUCCUUAAG